RNAcentral lists this microRNA (21 nucleotides) under Monodelphis domestica (gray short-tailed opossum). Its description in RNAcentral is "mdo-miR-12332-3p". The record is from miRBase by way of RNAcentral. Lineage: Eukaryota; Metazoa; Chordata; Mammalia; Didelphimorphia; Didelphidae.
CUCCCGGCCCUCCUAGCCAGG